This is a long non-coding RNA of Hordeum vulgare subsp. vulgare (domesticated barley), 1032 nucleotides long. RefSeq lists it as uncharacterized. The transcript is spliced from 2 exons. Lineage: Eukaryota; Viridiplantae; Streptophyta; Magnoliopsida; Poales; Poaceae. The record is from RefSeq and is a predicted model, not a curated record.
ACCAUCUACCCCCCGGUGCCACACCACCACCCACCUCCCGCGCCCCAUCGCCUCCACCACCAUGGCACCCUAGCCUGGUCACAAGCGCCAACAUCCACAACCCCCACCAGCGCGCCACCACCACCCAUCCCCAUGCAGUGCCCCACCAACCCACCCUUCCUCGUGACGCCACCCCUCGGCCACCAAUCCACACCGCUCGCUACGGCCACCACCGCGUGUUGUCCCGACCCAAUCCACCUACUACGUCGCGGUACCUUGGUUGUGUGACGGCCCUCCCACCUGCGCCGGAACUGCUGCAUCACAACCAACCCCAGUGUCUCGCCUGGAUUCGGUUACAGGGAUGCGUGGGAUGACCACCUCUCCCCAUUCAAGAAUUCACUAGAUCCCAGUCACCGCCGAACGGUCGCGCCAUGGCUCCCCGUCGCAAAUUUUUUUGCUUGGAGUUCAUUUGAUCUUUUUUUUUAAGCCCACUGAAUUUUGUUUUGUAGUUCACCGAGAUCCAAGGCGCUCGCCGUGCCGUGCCUUGUCCUGCUACUAUGUCCGAGGUGUGGACGGACUCUACCGCAGCCGAGAACAAGUCCCUCCUCCCCUACUUCCCUCCUCAUCGCUAGGUCGUUCUCCAGGUCGCGGAGGCACGUGCGACGGAUUUGUCUCUCGCCCUUUUGUAGUGCAUACAGGCGGUGCUUCAGUGCACCUCCACACCGUUGUUGCAAUCCGUAACCUCAAAUCCGGCAAACCCUCGUGCUUGCAGUUCUUUUUUUUCUAUUGAGCACUAACAAUCCGACGGCGAGAUACUACACAUGAAUCGGCCAGUGGUGCGGUUGCUUCGGCCGUGCAGUUCAGCCCACGGGCACGUGCAGUUGACUUGCACAGACCGGUUGCUCUGUGCGAUGAAACAAUUGCUUUUUUAUUUUCCGUUUGUAGUGAUUGUUCUAUAAGAUGUUUGGGAUCCUAUUUUUAUUUGUUCAUAAAAACAGUGUUGUACAAAACACCACUUCGUCGCCUUGAGCCAUCAAGAUGUGUUGCAUGAUA